This 222-nucleotide small nuclear RNA is filed under the name Glossina palpalis gambiensis. RNAcentral's name for it is "U11 spliceosomal RNA". It matches the Rfam family "U11 spliceosomal RNA", at positions 1 to 101 of the family's 134-position model. The record is from RNAcentral. Lineage: Eukaryota; Metazoa; Arthropoda; Insecta; Diptera; Glossinidae.
AAAAAGGGCGCUCGUCAUUGCAUGUGAUUAUAUCGCAUAGCGAAGUUUGCAGGUUUCUGUGAACUUCGUGACAGUGCAGACGCAUUGCAGUAUUGCCGUUGAACAUGUGCAAAAUCCUUUAACAUAGAUUUUUUUUUAUCUGUGUCUGGGGGAAUGCGGACGACGGCAAUUACUUCAGUGGGGUAUGGCUUUGCAUAUCCAGUGCAUAAUUUUUGUAAAGUG